CACCCGUGUUUAUUGUACCUUGUUGCUUCGGCGGGCCCGCNNNNCNGCCGCCGGGGGGCUCACGCUCCCGGGCCCGCGCCCGCCGAAGACACCCUCGAACUCUGUCUGAAGAUUGUAGUCUGAGUGGAAUUAUAAAUUAUUUAAAACUUUCAACAACGGAUCUCUUGGUUCCGGCAUCGAUGAAGAACGCAGCGAAAUGCGAUACGUAAUGUGAAUUGCAGAAUUCAGUGAAUCAUCGAGUCUUUGAACGCACAUUGCGCCCCCUGGUAUUCCGGGGGGCAUGCCUGUCCGAGCGUCAUUGCUGCCCUCAAGCACGGCUUGUGUGUUGGGCCCCGUCCCCCAAUCCCGGGGGACGGGCCCGAAAGGCAGCGGCGGCACCGCGUCCGGUCCUCGAGCGUAUGGGGCUUUGUCACCCGCUCUGUAGGCCCGGCCGGCGCUUGCCGAUCAACCAAACUUUUAUCCAGGUUGACCUCGGAUCAGGUAGGGAUACCCGCUGAACUUAAGCAUAUCAAUAAGCGGAGG
This 522-nucleotide ribosomal RNA is filed under the name Penicillium madriti. RNAcentral's name for it is "eukaryotic LSU rRNA". The stretch from base 145 to 298 matches the Rfam family "5.8S ribosomal RNA". The record is from RNAcentral. Lineage: Eukaryota; Fungi; Ascomycota; Eurotiomycetes; Eurotiales; Aspergillaceae.